AAUGAGACUGCAGGCACAGGUGCGGCCGGAUUCCCUGUCGCUGUCCCGCGCUGAGUGAAUUUUGCCUCGGAGCUGGUCCGAGGUCGCGCCUGCUCUUUUGUGUGCCCAAGGCAGAUUUCCAGAAGUAGAAAUCUGUCUUCUAACUCUAAGGCCUUGGGAGAUGAAGGAUCCGUGAUUCAAAGGCAGAAAUAGAUGGAGUCUUGCUGUGUUCUCCAGGAUUGAGUACAGUGGCUUAUUCACAGAUGUGAUCAUACUACACUACAGCCUCAAACUCCCGGGGUCAAGCAGUCCUCCUGCUUCAGCCUCCUGAGGAGCUGGGACUACAGGCCCACAUCACCAUGCCCACUAGAUUCACAGUCAUUUUGCUUGUGGAAGGUCUUGCCUCAAUGUUGAUAGGUGCUGACUGAUCAGGGUCAGGUUGCUGACUGAUCAGAAUGGUAGUUUCUGAAUGUUGGGAAUGGCUAUGGCAAUUUCUUAAAAUAAGACAACAAUGAAGUUUGCUGCAUUGAUUGACUCCCUUUCACAAAGGAUUUCUCCAUAUCAUGCAAUGCUGUUUGAUAGCAUUUUACCCAUAGUAGAACUUCUUUCAAAAUUGGAGUCAAUUCUCUCAAACCUUGUCUCUGCUUGGUCAACUAAGUUUAUGCACUAUUCCACAUCCUUUGUUGUCAUUUCAACAAUAUUUACAGAGUCUUCACCAUGAAUAGAUUCCUUUUCAAACAACCACUUUCUUUGCUCAGCCAUAAGAAGCAACUCUUCACCCAUUCAAGUUUUAUCAUGAGAUUGCAGCAAUUCAGUCACAUCAAAUUCCACUUCUAAUUCUAGUUGUUUUUCUAUUUCCACCACAUCUGCAGGUACUUUCUCCACAGAAAUUUCAAACCUCUCAAAGUCAUCCGUGAGGGUUGGAAUCAACUUCCAAAUUUCUGUGAAUGUUGAUAUUUUGACCUCCUCCUAAUCACAAAUGUUCUUAAUGGCAUCUAGAAUGGUGAAUCUUUUCCAGAAGGUUUUCUAUGUGCUUUGCCCAGUUCCAUCAGAAGAAUCACUGUCUGUGGUAGCUCUAGCCUUAUUAAAUGUAUAUUUUAAAUAAUAACACCUAAAAAUCAAAAUGACUCCUUGAUCCAUGGGCUGUAGAAUAGACAUUGUGUUAGCAGUCAUGAAAACAAGAUUAAUCUCCUCAUAUAGCACCAUUAUAGCUCUUGGGUGACCACGUGCAUUGUCAAUGACCAGUAAUAUUUUGAAAGGACACCUUUUUUUUUGAGCAGUAGGUCUCAACAGUGGACUUAAAAUAUUCAGAAAGCUGUGUUGUAAACAGAUGUGCUGCCAGCUAGGUAUCGUUGUUCCAUUUAUAGAGCACUGGUAGAGCAGAUUUAGCAUAAUUUGUCAGGACCCUAGGAUUUUUGGAAUGGUAAAUGGGCACUGGCUUCAACUUCAAGUAACCAACUGCAUUAACUCCUAACAAGAAGAGUCAGCCUGUCCUUGAAAGUAUGAAAACAGGCAUGGACUUCUCCUCUCUAGCUAUGAAAGUCUUAGAUGGCAUCUUCUUCCAAUAGAAGUUGUUUCAUGUACAUUGAAAAUCUGUUGUUUGGUGUAGCCACCCUCUUCGAUGAUCUUAGCUAGAUCUUCUGGAUAACUUGCUACAGUUUCUACAUCAGCACUUGUUGCCUUACCUUACACUUUCAUGUUAAGGAGAUAGCUUCUUUCCUUAAACCACAGGAACGAACCUCUGCUAUCUUCUAGAUUUUCUUGGGCAACUUCCUUACUUCUUUCAGCUUUCAUAGAACUGAAUAGUGUUAGGAUCUUGCUCUGGGUUAGGUUUUGGCUUAAGGGAAUGUGGUAGCUGGUUUGAUUUAUUUAGACCACUAAAACUUUCUUCAUAUCAGCAUUAAGGCUGGUUUGCUUUAUUAUCAUUUAUGUGUUCACUGGAGUAGCACUUUAAAUUUCCUCCAAGCUUGUUUGCUUUUCACUCACAGUGUGGCUGUUUGGUGCCAAGAGGCCUAGCUUCCCAGUCUUGGCUUUCAACAUGCCUUCCUCACUAAGCAUAGUCAUUUCUAGCUAUUUAUUUAAAGUUAGAGAUGUGCAACUCUUCUUUCACUUGAACACUUAGAGGCUAUUGUAGGGUUAUUACUUGGCUUAAUUGCAAUAUUGUUGUGUCUGGAGGAAUAGAGAGGCCUGGGGACACAAAGAGAAAUGGGGAACAGCUGGUCACUGGAGCAGUGAGAACACACGCAACAUUUAUUGAUUAAAUUCGCUGUUUUAUGGGCUCGGUUCAUGGUGCUCCAAAACAAUUAUAAUAGUAACAUCAAACAUCACUGUUCACAGGUCACCAUAACAGAUAUAAUGAUAAUGAUAAUAAUAAUAAUGUUUGAAAUAUUGCAAGAAUUACCAAAAUGUGACUCAGAGAAACAAUAAAGUGAGCACAUGCUGUUGGAAAAAUGGUACUGAUAGACUUGAUCCAUGCAGGGUUGCCACAAACGAUUAAUUUGCAAAAAAAACAAACAAAAGAACAUGCAGUAUCUGUGAAGCACAAUAAAGCAUACUGCAAAU
RNAcentral lists this long non-coding RNA (2541 nucleotides) under Homo sapiens (human). RNAcentral describes it as "non-protein coding KLHL7-DT:12". Lineage: Eukaryota; Metazoa; Chordata; Mammalia; Primates; Hominidae. The record is from RNAcentral.